AUUGAACGCUGGCGGCAGGCCUAACACAUGCAAGUCGAGCGGCAGCGGAAAGUAGCUUGCUACUUUGCCGGCGAGCGGCGGACGGGUGAGUAAUGUCUGGGAAACUGCCUGAUGGAGGGGGAUAACUACUGGAAACGGUAGCUAAUACCGCAUAACGUCGCAAGACCAAAGAGGGGGACCUUCGGGCCUCUUGCCAUCAGAUGUGCCCAGAUGGGAUUAGCGAGUAGGUGGGGUAACGGCUAACCUAGGCGACGAUCCCUAGCUGGUCUGAGAGGAUGACCAGCCACACUGGAACUGAGACACGGCCCAGACUCCUACGGGAGGCAGCAGUGGGGAAUAUUGCACAAUGGGCGCAAGCCUGAUGCAGCCAUGCCGCGUGUAUGAAGAAGGCCUUCGGGUUGUAAAGUACUUUCAGCGGGGAGGAAGGUGUUGAGGUUAAUAACCUCAGCAAUUGACGUUACCCGCAGAAGAAGCACCGGCUAACUCCGUGCCAGCCGCCGCAGUAA
RNAcentral lists this ribosomal RNA (506 nucleotides) under uncultured bacterium. RNAcentral's name for it is "partial 16S ribosomal RNA". It matches the Rfam family "Bacterial small subunit ribosomal RNA", at positions 30 to 523 of the family's 1533-position model. The record is from RNAcentral.